RNAcentral lists this long non-coding RNA (349 nucleotides) under Lathyrus oleraceus (garden pea). RNAcentral's name for it is "Pisum sativum (pea) long non-coding RNA (PSAT_LNC033681)". Lineage: Eukaryota; Viridiplantae; Streptophyta; Magnoliopsida; Fabales; Fabaceae. The record is from RNAcentral.
UAGCUAUGUACCUUAACACAUCCAUCACCUCAUCCGAAGUAGAAAACAAUCAAUGGCUACCUCAAUUAUGGUUACUUCCUUGGCUAUGAUAUGCUUGGUUUUGAGUGCUUCCUUAGCAAAUGGUGCCCAAUCAUGUGGCCAAGUGCAACUAACUGUAGCACCAUGCAUUAUGGUUUUGAGUGCUUCCUUAGCAAAUGGUGCCCAAUCAUGUGGCCAAGUGCAACUAACUGUAGCACCAUGCAUUGGUUACCUUAGGAGACCAGGUCCAUCUGUUCCAGCACCAUGUUGCAAUGGAGUGAGAACUGUGUUCAACUUAGCCAAAACUGUAUCUGAUCGUCAAGCGAAUUGU